Molecule: ribosomal RNA, 358 nt
Filed under: uncultured bacterium
Lineage: Bacteria
Description: bacterial SSU rRNA
Rfam family: Bacterial small subunit ribosomal RNA
Source: RNAcentral
AGAGUUUGAUAAUGGCUCAGGAUGAACGCUAGCUACAGGCUUAACACAUGCAAGUCGAGGGGAAACGACAUCGAAAGCUUGCUUUUGAUGGGCGUCGACCGGCGCACGGGUGAGUAACGCGUAUCCAACCUGCCCACCACUUGGGGAUAACCUUGCGAAAGUAAGACUAAUACCCAAUGACGUCUCUAGAAGACAUCUGAAAGAGAUUAAAGAUUUAUCGGUGAUGGAUGGGGAUGCGUCUGAUUAGCUUGGUUGGGCGGGGUAACGGCCCACCGAAGGCGACGAUCGAGGUAGGGGUUCUGAGAGGAACGGUCCCCACAUUGGAACUGAGACACGGUCCAAACUCCUACGAGAGGCA